CAGUAGCCACGGUAAUACGUAGGUCCCGAGCGUUGUCCGGAUUUAUUGGGCGUAAAGGGAGCGCAGGCGGUUUAGUAAGUCUGAAGUUAAAGGCAUUGGCUCAACCAAUGUAUGCUUUGGAAACUGUUAGACUUGAGUGCAGAAGGGGAGAGUGGAAUUCCAUGUGUAGCGGUGAAAUGCGUAGAUAUAUGGAGGAACACCGGUGGCGAAAGCGGCUCUCUGGUCUGUCACUGACGCUGAGGCUCGAAAGCGUGGGUAGCGAACAGGAUUAGAUACCCGGGUAGUCCCUGUCUCUUAUACC
RNAcentral lists this ribosomal RNA (301 nucleotides) under uncultured bacterium. Its description in RNAcentral is "partial 16S ribosomal RNA". It matches the Rfam family "Bacterial small subunit ribosomal RNA", at positions 509 to 808 of the family's 1533-position model. The record is from RNAcentral.